This 852-nucleotide ribosomal RNA is filed under the name Natrialba hulunbeirensis. Its description in RNAcentral is "bacterial SSU rRNA". It matches the Rfam family "Archaeal small subunit ribosomal RNA", at positions 53 to 906 of the family's 1478-position model. Lineage: Archaea; Methanobacteriati; Methanobacteriota; Halobacteria; Halobacteriales; Natrialbaceae. The record is from RNAcentral.
GCUAGUUGUACGAGUUCAGACUCGUAGCAGAUAGCUCAGUAACACGUGGCCAAACUACCCUAUAGAUCCAGACAACCUCGGGAAACUGAGGCUAAUCCGGAAUAGGGCUCUCAUCCUGGAGUGGAGAGAGCCUGAAACGCUCCGGCGCCAUAGGAUGUGGCUGCGGCCGAUUAGGUAGACGGUGGGGUAACGGCCCACCGUGCCAGUAAUCGGUACGGGUUGUGAGAGCAAGAGCCCGGAGACGGUAUCUGAGACAAGAUACCGGGCCCUACGGGGCGCAGCAGGCGCGAAACCUUUACACUGCACGCCAGUGCGAUAAGGGGACUCCAAGUGCGAGGGCAUAUAGUCCUCGCUUUUUGCGACCGUAAGGUGGUCGCGGAAUAAGUGCUGGGCAAGACCGGUGCCAGCCGCCGCGGUAAUACCGGCAGCACGAGUGAUGACCGCUGUUAUUGGGCCUAAAGCGUCCGUAGCUGGCCGCGCAAGUCUAUCGGGAAAUCUCUCCGCUUAACGGAGAGGCGUCCGGUGGAAACUGUGUGGCUUGGGACCGGAAGACCAGAGGGGUACGUCUGGGGUAGGAGUGAAAUCCCGUAAUCCUGGACGGACCACCGGUGGCGAAAGCGCCUCUGGAAGACGGAUCCGACGGUGAGGGACGAAAGCUCGGGUCACGAACCGGAUUAGAUACCCGGGUAGUCCGAGCUGUAAACGAUGUCUGCUAGGUGUGACACAGGCUACGAGCCUGUGUUGUGCCGUAGGGAAGCCGUGAAGCAGACCGCCUGGGAAGUACGUCCGCAAGGAUGAAACUUAAAGGAAUUGGCGGGGGAGCACUACAACCGGAGGAGCCUGCGGUUUAAU